AUCUUCUUAAGUCGAGGGUCUAUCGGAAAUAGCCUCUCUGCCCCAUCGUAUAUCCAUCAAGUUGUUAAAAUAAUAAUAAGAAAGAAUUAGCAACGAUAUGAAACAACCAUUUUAGAGGUAAGAAAGACUUUGAACUUACGCGUACGAGUCCAAUACUCAGGGAAAGAGGGACUUGUGGUCGGAAUUGUAUCCCUGGUGGCAACAUUAACAAACUGCUCCAUCCAUCCAUGAUCAUUGUC
Molecule: long non-coding RNA, 239 nt
Filed under: Nicotiana benthamiana
Lineage: Eukaryota; Viridiplantae; Streptophyta; Magnoliopsida; Solanales; Solanaceae
Description: long non-coding RNA (NBEN_LNC001073)
Source: RNAcentral